UCUCUCUUCCUGUCUGUCUGUCUGCCUGCUUGCCUUGCUCUUUACCUGUCUGUCUCUCUGUAGGGGUGUUGGUUGUAUCUUCUAUGAGAUGACAACAGGUCGACCUCUGUUUCCUGGUUCCACAGUGGAGGAGGAGCUUCACUUCAUCUUCAAACUCUUGGGUACUCCCACAGAGCAGAGCUGGUCUGGGAUCAGUUGUAAUGACGAAUUUGUUGCGUAUAACUAUCCUCUCUACCGAGCGGAGAGACUGAGUAACCACACUCCCAGGCUCAGCACUGAAGGAGUUGAGCUGUUGUCAAAGUUCCUGAAGUUUGAAGGGAAGAAGAGGAUCUCAGCAGCCGAGUCAAUGAAUCAUCGUUAUUUCAGUAACCUAGGAAACAGAGUGAUGAUGCUUCUCGACACAAUGUCCAUCUUCAGUCUGCCAGAGAUUCAACUGGAAAAAGAAACAAUCAGACCAACACUCACCUCUGAUCCAGCUCCAUGACAACUAAGCAGCACCAUCCAUUGAGGAAGAUCAUGUGAUAUGACUGAAAGCUCCAGAACAACAGCCGCCUUAUGUGAACAGUCCGGCCAAGAGGCGUGGUCUACUACUCUGACAUCAUGGUGGAGGCAUGGUCUGCUACUCUGACAUCAUGGUGGAGGCGUGGUCUGCUACUCUGACGUCAUGGUGGAGGGGGGUCUGCUACUCUGACAUCAUGGUGGAGGGGGGUCUGCUACUCUGAGAUCAUGGUGGAGGCGUGGUCUGAUCUUCUGACAGCAUCGUAGAGGCGUGGUCUGAUCUUAUGACAUCAUCAUGGAGGCGGGACAAAGGGAAACUGAAAGAAGCAGAGGUGAUGAUGAUGAUUUUCUUUUCUCUGGAGGAGUAAAAUAAGAUCAGGAAUUAAAACAAAAGAAGAAGAAAACAAAGUAAGCACUGAAAUGAUUGUUAAUCAAGAGAAGAAGAGAAGAAAAUGUCAGACAGACAGAUUAAUGCAAUAAUGGAUCACAACAGCCAUCUGACCAAUCAGUUACCAGUAGGUUGUAACUAUCAGCAUGAGAUUCCCAUCAGUACACGAACGGAUGAACAGAUUAAUGACUUACAGGUUAUUGAACAGAACAGAUGUUGGAAUGUAAAUUCUGUCUUCCAUUUUCAGAUUCAACACAAAUUUCCUGAAUACAGGUAUCACCUGUGUGUGUAAUAACUCGUCAAUCAUUGGGAUUGCACUAAAACUGUAUUUGUUUUAUUUUAAAAGAAAAACUAAACCAUCAGACAAAGUUCAUCAUCAGUUCAGACAGGAAGUGCUGUUUGGUAUUCUGAAUAUAAAUUGAAUGUGACUAAAGUUACAGGAAAGAAUCGAUGAAGAAUGUUUCAUUUUUUAUAGUUUAAAGUCUUAAUAGAUUACAUUUACAUUACAGUCAUUUAGCAGACGCUUUUAUC
RNA transcript from Anarrhichthys ocellatus (wolf-eel), 1417 nucleotides. It is a transcript of the gene named cyclin-dependent kinase 16-like, with no coding region annotated. The record is from RefSeq and is a predicted model, not a curated record. The transcript is spliced from 7 exons. NCBI's taxonomy places the organism in Eukaryota, Metazoa, Chordata, Actinopteri, Perciformes, Anarhichadidae.